UAGUCUUUCUAAGCUAGAUCUCCACCUAUUAAUGUCAGAUCUUCACCUGAAUGCUUAGAACCACUUGUUUCUACAAGUCUGACUGCAUCAACAUGUCUUUUGUUGGAUGAUCUUAGAAAAAAAA
Non-coding RNA from Populus trichocarpa (black cottonwood), 124 nucleotides. The record is from Rfam. Lineage: Eukaryota; Viridiplantae; Streptophyta; Magnoliopsida; Malpighiales; Salicaceae.